GCACUAGCAGAUUCAGGAAAGAGCCUCUGACUGCUUGUACGGGGCUCGAUUCAGCAGAAGCUCUUACUACUACGGUGCAUCUCCGAACUUCUGCACUGCACACGCACUGCAAUCAGCAGACUCUAGGAUGUAACCAUUUCCAAAUGUUUUUAUUCUGCUUCUGCUCUCUUUUGCGUAUUUUUUGUAUUAUGUUUUUUUAAAUCCAUUUAUUGUUUUGCAAGGAAUAACUUACCAAAAACAUGACUGGGACAUACUUUUUUGGCCGUCAGAGCCAAAACUGUGCUGAAUGCAAGACCUAACCGAAACUCUUAACGGAAUUAUAACAUCUGGGCGGCGUUUGGUUCGGUUCUCGUGGUUUCCCGCUCUGGAUUUCGGAUUUAACGUUUUUUAUCGGGAUGGAAGGCCGGGAAUUCGCUCCUCCGCCGCACCUUUUGGCAGAGCGAGGCGCGCUGGUUCACAGAGCCGCCUCGAGGAUCACUCAUGCCGGGCACACGACAGUGCAGCAUCCCGGUCACUUUCAGCCUGGGAAAUAUUACACCUCACAUAUAGCGAUGCCUCCACAUUCAGGGGGGACGAGUGAAAGUGACUAAAAGAGAGAGAGGGAGACGAGGAAAAAGAGUGGCUGAAUGUUUCCACCUGGUUGGUAAUCUGGCCCAAUUACCUCUGCUUGGUAGCACAGAGCCUGGCGUGUUCCAUCGCCACUCACUAUGCCUGCCAGCUGAGUGCUGUGAGCGAGUGUACGGCACUCUAUGUGUGUGUGUGUGUGUGUGUGUGAUUCAGCAGAGCUUCGUUGGCAGAAGCGACAUCGUUCCCCCCUCCCCUCCACCCCACGGUCUCUUCUUUCACUGUUUGAUGUGCCUCAGUAGGCCGAGAGAGUCCCAACGCCCUGGCCCGACUGCACCCAUCACCGCUGCCCCUCAAACAAUGCAUCUGCACGUCAUCAACGCUGGCAGAAAAUCAUUUAUUAAUAUUUGAUA
This is a long non-coding RNA of Rhinichthys klamathensis goyatoka, 977 nucleotides long. RefSeq lists it as uncharacterized. The record is from RefSeq and is a predicted model, not a curated record. The transcript is spliced from 3 exons. NCBI's taxonomy places the organism in Eukaryota, Metazoa, Chordata, Actinopteri, Cypriniformes, Leuciscidae.